Long non-coding RNA from Felis catus (domestic cat), 286 nucleotides. RefSeq lists it as uncharacterized. The record is from RefSeq and is a predicted model, not a curated record. The transcript has 3 exons. Lineage: Eukaryota; Metazoa; Chordata; Mammalia; Carnivora; Felidae.
CCCCAGCUCAGAAGUCUGCCCCAGAGGAUGGGACUGCCCCCCUCGCAGAGGUGAUCUGAAUCAGCCAGUCCCAGCCCUGCCUUCAAGCAGAGCCCGUCCAGUUUUGUGCCCUGUAGGGUGUACCUGGAGCACCUGGAGCCCAAGAAGCUGCCCAUCACCUUGGUGGUCCUGAGAUCAACGCUCUGCCCAUGAUGAAGGCUGAACCUGCUGAGCAACCCAAAAGCAGAGACAGAGCGUGAGUGGAGGAGGGACAGAGAGAGAGGGAGACACAGAAUCUGAAGCAGGC